Danio rerio (zebrafish) is the source of this 116-nucleotide ribosomal RNA. NCBI's taxonomy places the organism in Eukaryota, Metazoa, Chordata, Actinopteri, Cypriniformes, Danionidae. The record is from Ensembl.
UGCCACAGUCAUAUCACCCUGCAGCCCAAGACUGGUUACUCACUGAAGCUAAGCAGGGCUGAGCCCAGUCAGUAGCUGGAUGGGAGACCACAUGGGAAGCCAGCAGGGUGUGCUUA